This 400-nucleotide unclassified non-coding RNA is filed under the name uncultured fungus. Its description in RNAcentral is "sequence contains ITS1". The record is from RNAcentral. Lineage: Eukaryota; Fungi.
ACGUCAUCCCCACCUUCCUCUCUACUUGCGUAGGCAGUCUUACUAGAGUCCUCAACUUAAUGGUAGCAACUAGUAACAGGGGUUGCGCUCGUUGCAGGACUUAACCUAACACCUCACGGCACGAGCUGACGACAACCAUGCAGCACCUUGAAAAUUGCCCGAAGGACGGUCUAUUUCUAAACCCAUCAAUUCCCAUUUAAGCCUUGGUAAGGUUCCUCGCGUAUCAUCGAAUUAAACCACAUAAUCCACCGCUUGUGCGGGCCCCCGUCAAUUCCUUUGAGUUUCAUUCUUGCGAACGUACUCCCCAGGUGGCUAACUUAUCACUUUCGCUUAGUCUCUGAAUCCGAAAACCCAAAAACGAGUUAGCAUCGUUUACGGCGUGGACUACCAGGGUAUCUAA